UUACGGUCACAUCACGUUGAAACACCGGUCCCCGUACUAUCGCCGAAGUUAAGCAAUCUCGUGCCUGGUCAGAAUUUGGAUAGGUGACCACUGAUGGGAAAAAACCAGGCGUUGUAA
Non-coding RNA from Acanthosepion pharaonis, 117 nucleotides. Lineage: Eukaryota; Metazoa; Mollusca; Cephalopoda; Sepiida; Sepiidae. The record is from the annotation of a GenBank genome assembly.